AUUGAACGCUGGCGGCAUGCUUUACACAUGCAAGUCGAACGGUAACAGGCCGCAAGGUGCUGACGAGUGGCGAACGGGUGAGUAAUGCAUCGGAACGUGCCCAGUCGUGGGGGAUAACUACUCGAAAGAGUAGCUAAUACCGCAUACGAUCUAUGGAUGAAAGCGGGGGACCGUAAGGCCUCGCGCGAUUGGAGCGGCCGAUGUCAGAUUAGGUAGUUGGGGGGGUAAAGGCUCACCAAGCCAACGAUCUGUAGCUGGUCUGAGAGGACGACCAGCCACACUGGGGCUGAGACACGGCCCAGACUCCUACGGGAGGCAGCAGUGGGGAAUUUUGGACAAUGGGCGCAAGCCUGAUCCAGCAAUGCCGCGUGCAGGAAGAAGGCCUUCGGGUUGUAAACUGCUUUUGUACGGAACGAAACGGCUCUGGUUAAUACCCGGGGCUAAUGACGGUACCGUAAGAAUAAGCACCGGCUAACUACGUG
RNAcentral lists this ribosomal RNA (482 nucleotides) under uncultured bacterium. RNAcentral describes it as "partial 16S ribosomal RNA". It matches the Rfam family "Bacterial small subunit ribosomal RNA", at positions 30 to 507 of the family's 1533-position model. The record is from RNAcentral.